GAUGAUAAAAAAAAUCCUCCUCAUCCUCAAUCCUCUUUCUUCUUUAUCCUCUCUUCUCCGUCUUCCUUCUCGUUUGCCAUAGAUGACCGUGAGAGUGAUGGAGUCUCCUUCUUCUUCUUCUGUCCUCUAUUACUCCCUUCAUUGUAGUAGCAGUAUCGAAGAUUCUUCCCUCUUCUUCACUUCAUCAACUUACUAUUAGCCUUUGGCGUACCAUGGUGCACGUAGAUAGCAAGGUUCUUGUAGGAGAUGCUAGCCCCGUGUGUAGGCCAAUGCACGUGGAACAGAGGGAUGAAUAUACAUGAGCAUUGUACUCAAGCUUGUUUCGUGGCUUCUGCCAUGCUUGUUUCAUGGCUUCCAACUGCGCUUGACUAGUUACUUACUUUUGUAGAUUGUGUGUCCACACUUAUUUAUUAUUUACCUUCAUGGAUUGCAUGUUCACGCUCGUUUUUAAUAGAGUCCUGCUAAAUGAUAUUUGAAA
Long non-coding RNA from Prosopis cineraria, 478 nucleotides. RefSeq lists it as uncharacterized. The record is from RefSeq and is a predicted model, not a curated record. The transcript is spliced from 2 exons. Lineage: Eukaryota; Viridiplantae; Streptophyta; Magnoliopsida; Fabales; Fabaceae.